RNAcentral lists this ribosomal RNA (487 nucleotides) under uncultured bacterium. Its description in RNAcentral is "bacterial SSU rRNA". It matches the Rfam family "Bacterial small subunit ribosomal RNA", at positions 501 to 987 of the family's 1533-position model. The record is from RNAcentral.
CUACGUGCCAGCAGCCGCGGUAAUACGGAGGGUGCAAGCGUUAAUCGGAAUUACUGGGCGUAAAGCGCACGCAGGCGGUCUGUCAAGUCGGAUGUGAAAUCCCCGGGCUCAACCUGGGAACUGCAUUCGAAACUGGCAGGCUAGAGUCUUGUAGAGGGGGGUAGAAUUCCAGGUGUAGCGGUGAAAUGCGUAGAGAUCUGGAGGAAUACCGGUGGCGAAGGCGGCCCCCUGGACAAAGACUGACGCUCAGGUGCGAAAGCGUGGGGAGCAAACAGGAUUAGAUACCCUAGUAGUCCACGCCGUAAACGAUGUCGACUUGGAGGUUGUGCCCUUGAGGCGUGGCUUCCGGAGCUAACGCGUUAAGUCGACCGCCUGGGGAGUACGGCCGCAAGGUUAAAACUCAAAUGAAUUGACGGGGGCCCGCACAAGCGGUGGAGCAUGUGGUUUAAUUCGACGCAACGCGAAGAACCUUACCAGGUCUUGACAU